Cololabis saira (Pacific saury) is the source of this 4076-nucleotide long non-coding RNA. RefSeq lists it as uncharacterized. Lineage: Eukaryota; Metazoa; Chordata; Actinopteri; Beloniformes; Belonidae. The record is from RefSeq and is a predicted model, not a curated record. The transcript is spliced from 8 exons.
AAACUCCACACAUAUAUAGAAGCCCUGGCUUCUGGAAUUGUCAUGAAUCCUUUUGUUUUUAACAUCCUCAUCAGCUCAGGAAACCUGUGCUCUUCUUUACUUCUCCUCCACAGUUCUGGAAAACACUGAAGCCUCCAGGAUGUCCUGCUUUUGGACGUAUUUGAGUCUCAUCGCUGUCCUGCAACACAGCGUCUCAGCGGAUCAAGAUCUCCCGUGUAUCACAGAACUUUGAUCCAGUUUGCCUGAACCGAGACGUCUUAUGGGCUCCCUCGUCAGCCUCCACAGAGGAGAGUGCUGCUCAUCUAUGUUUUGGAUACCUGUCCCAGUUAAACUAACGCGGCUUAUCUUCCCAGAGCCACCACUCUACGUCAUCGCCCCCAGAAUGCAUUGCGCAGCAGUGGAACUGAACUGCAACAAAACUGUGAAAGUCCAGGCCGGAGGAACAGCAACGCUUAACUGCUCGAUACAUUGGAAUGAGGAUAUAAACACCAGCAAAAAUCUAACAUCUAUCACCUGGACAAACUGCGGAAAAAGUGAAUUAUGUCACAGCAACAUGAAGAGAUACGUUUUUGAGUCAGAUAAUCAGACUUACGUGUCACUGACCAUCUCAAACGUCUAUGAAGCUGAAAAUGUCAACGUUGAUAUUGUGGCAGAAAGUGGCAUGGAUGAUAAAUGCAUCAGCGUGGUGGUGGUCAACGGUACAGAUCCAGCUACAUCUUCUUCGUAUGAGAACCAUGACAACCCAAAGGACGAUACGGUUGUGAUAGCCAGCACGCUUUCCGUUUUGGGUGCCGUCCUUGUUGGGGUCAUUUUGUUUGUCCUUUACAAAGUUAAGACAAGAAACAACCAUCGCAGACUAGAACAAAAGGAACCUCAACCCCUUGUCUGACUGAUAUUGUGUAAUGUCUCAGGUAUCCCUCAGUAUAAGACCAUCAGGCAAGGGACAUAGCGAGGAACAGCAGCAAAAUGAAAAAGACCCUACAAACAUAAAAUCACUAAAUGAAUCAAUGACUUAAAAUCCUCUGGCCCUUAGCAGGCCUUGAACUUAGAAAACCCUCAGGCAAACAACGACGCAUGACAUAUCGGUGUCAUCAUUUAUUGGACAAAAACUGAAGUGUGAGAAGUUCGGUACCCCCUCACUGUCUCCAUGGAAACCAGGAGGAUAAGUAGCAGCUAGGUUUUGGUUACUGGCCUGGAGCAUCCAGGUGUCUGUUAACAGACUACCAAAGAGGGAAGACAUCAGCAGUAAUCUUAGAGAGACAAUUAUUUCUGUAUGUCCAUACUAAUACUAGUAUUAUGUAUGUUAGCGAUUUCCAACGACACGCCAUUCAUUUUUCUACACUAAGAAAGAUGAUUCCUAAUUGGAAACCUUCAAGGCAGUUGCCAGUUUUCUCAGGGGUCCCCUUGUCCCAGCAAAUUCAUCUAAAAUGUACAGAAAAAAAAGAUCUAAGCACUACACCCGAGAGUCUGCAGGUCUGAUUUGGCAUGUUAAAUGUUAACGUUCAUGAUUACACAUGGAUGUUUUGAAUAAAGCCUUGUGUCUAAAAGUACAACAUGACAGAACCGCUUCGGUUUGCAGAGAUGCAGCUGAGCAAAUCAAAGGAUCUGUACAGCAGUGAGAUCAAAGUGGAGGUGUGAGUUUGGUGAAAACCAACGGGUUCAUAAGCACAAAUACCUCGUAACAACCAUCAACCGUGGUGGUGAUGUGGGCUUGCUGUGUUACAGAUUUAUUCUAGAGUCCAUCAGUCUGACAACUAAAGUCUGGCUGAACUUUGAUCAUGCAGCAAAGCAAUGUUCCUAAACACAUGACCAAAUCUACGAAAGAGCAGUUAAAAUGAAAUAUUUUUAAGCUGUUUCUACUGGGGGUUGUUUUACAAGCAGUUGGGUGGUGGGAAGUUUGAACAUUUUUGCUCAGUACAUGGGGUGCUUUGUCAAGUGUUGUUAUUCCGCUGUACUAAUACAACAACUUGUAAAGGCUGAAAUUGUAACUUGUUCUUAAAAUGUUAUAGCAAAUAUUUCCAAGUUCACCUUCAUAGUAGUUUAAAGUGAAAGCAGCUUAAAAGUGUACAUGUGUAUUUUAUUGUUUGUUGAGCUCAAAGGGAAGGACAGGAACCUCAUUCGAGGCCUGUAUGUUUUCAGUUUAACUGUUUAGUGUGGGACGUGGUAACGUGUGUUGCGCUGCAGUUGGUCUCGGUUAAAGGGCUGUGCCCCCUGGGUGUGAGCUGGCGUUUUUAAUUUAAUCAAACAUGUUUAAUUUAUGUCAGGAGCAGUCUGUUUGUCCUUAUUGUGUACAAGGAACAACUAAAAGAUGUGCAAGAGGUUGGAAAUGUGGGUUGCAUUGUUAAUCUGUUUCCAAAGUGUUCUGAAAGCAUAAAAGUGAAUUGUGUACAGUAUUUAAAAACCCUGACUCAUGUCCUGGAUAUUCUGACUGUAUAUAUAUUAUGGUGCAUGCCAAUUCAUCCUUUUUACAAGAAACUGUGAUUGAGUGGUGGAACAUGUUUUCAAAUAAAAUCUGUCAAAAACAAGUGCUUUUGCAUCUUUGAUGUUAUACACCACAGCAUAAACACUCCCACACAGCUGAUUUAGUGUCAACAGCAGCCAGUACAGUCACAUUUCCUCUUUACAUCGCACUUGAAGCAUCCGUGAGACGGUUCCCCUGUUAGUCUGUCUGCAUCUGGAGCAUCUGCUGCAUCUGCAGCCGCCUGUCUGCAGCCCUGCGUGCAGGAUGAAAGGCCGCUGCUGGAGCUUCGUGUUGGGAUUUCUCUGCAUGCCCGCUGAGGUGAUACUCAGCGCCUGGACAGUGUCACAAGACCCCGCAAUUACUUCUGACGUGAGAAUCAACUCAUCUCUUGAAAUUAAAUGCUCCUCAUCCAAAUCAGACGUGGUGGGGUUAUAUCUGCGUAGGCUUUUCCAGGACAAGGACAUUAUGUUCCUGUCCUUGGAAAAUGAAAGGGUCGACAACGUCAUCAUAACUCCGGAUUUUAAGGGGAGGAUAAACAAAAACCAAGGCCUGCAGAAGCUGGGGGAGCCGUAUUGGAUCACAUUUAAGCUUUCUCUGCUGAAGCUAGAGGACUCGGACUUGUAUUAUUGCAAGUGGACAAACAACAAGUUUAACCACCAGUCGAGCAACGGUACCGUCGUCAUUGUCAGAGAGAGCGGCCCUCCGGAACGAUGUCCUGACUCUAUCAUUGACAUUGUCUUGAUUUGUCUGAGCAUUUUAGCUUGUAUUAUCAUCCUGUCCAUUAUCCUGCUGAUGAUUAUGAGGUCCAGAAAAUUUAAAAAGAAAUUCACACCUGCCAGACACGUAAAACCCGUGAGACCUCCCAGACCCGCAAGACCUGUGAGACCCCCCAGACCCGACGGACCUAGUUGCUGCUGUUCCCCUCAACUACCCAGAAACCAUCCUUACUUAGUCACUUCUAUAAACAGUCCUAACCUUAGAGCUGUCAUGUGACGUCCAAAACAAGAGCAAGGCCGAUGAUAAGAUAAGAUACUUCCUUGUUUAGUUAUUGCAGAAAUAUAACUGAAACGUCAGUCGUUCUUGUCAGUUGCUCAUCUUUUGUUUCAUUUCCUUUUUACGCACAAUUGAGCUUUAAAUCUGCAGAAAAAGGCUUGAGCUACCACAUCCUGGCUGAUGUUGAAUAGUACAGGUGUGGCACACGAACGAACACUGCACAGCAAGCGUUAUUUCCAUCCUUUGCAUGCAUACAUGCAUUAUCUUGACCCCAUCGGGUUUUUAAGUGAUUUGAACACGAUUUUGUUACCUUCUAUGACUAAUAAAGAAUUGUGAAAUUGAAAAGAACCACACUUUUCUACCUGUUUUGAUUCUUGAAAUGUUUAUUUCUAUUGAAUAAGAUGAACCUGUGAUUAAUGUUUUAUUUUAUAGUGAUGCACCGGUGAGAUGUAUAGCAUUAAAGGGGACAUAUGUUGAUGUUUGAAGUGACAACUUACUCAAAACUUUUAUAAAUAUCCAACAUCUCCAACUUUAUCUCCAUCCAUAAUGUGGCAUUUGUUGUUCUCCAGGUUCUACAUCCUACUUUUUUUAUCGGGUAGAAUUCAAACAGGAAGACUAACUG